GGGGCUGUGGCUCAGUGGUAGAGCACUUGCCUAGCAUGUGUGAGGCACUGGAUUCGAUCCUCAGCACCA
RNAcentral lists this transfer RNA (69 nucleotides) under Ictidomys tridecemlineatus (thirteen-lined ground squirrel). RNAcentral's name for it is "Spermophilus tridecemlineatus (thirteen-lined ground squirrel) tRNA". It matches the Rfam family "tRNA". From Rfam's summary of the family: Transfer RNA (tRNA) molecules are approximately 80 nucleotides in length. Their secondary structure includes four short double-helical elements and three loops (D, anti-codon, and T loops). The record is from Rfam by way of RNAcentral. Lineage: Eukaryota; Metazoa; Chordata; Mammalia; Rodentia; Sciuridae.